AUGAUCGAGGAGCGAAACAUGUCUCCAAUCGAUCUCCAUCGUGUGCUCUUCAGCCACGAUCGAGGAGCAGAAUGCAUCUCCAAUCGAUCUCCAUCGUGCGCUCCUUGGUCACGGUCGAGGUGCGGUAUGCAUCUUCAUGUGGUUCUCCAUCGUGUGCUCUUCGGCCAUGGAUAAGGAGCAGAAUGCAUCUCUAAUUAGUCUCCAUCAUGCGCUCUUCGAUCAUGAUUGAGGAGUGGUAUGCAUCUCCAUGUGAUUCUCCAUCGUGCGCUCCUCGACCAUGAUCGAGAAGUGGAGCGUGUCUCCAAUCGAUCUCCAUCAUGCACUUUUUGACCA
RNAcentral lists this long non-coding RNA (333 nucleotides) under Elaeis guineensis (African oil palm). RNAcentral describes it as "long non-coding RNA (EGUI_LNC040419)". Lineage: Eukaryota; Viridiplantae; Streptophyta; Magnoliopsida; Arecales; Arecaceae. The record is from RNAcentral.